RNAcentral lists this ribosomal RNA (329 nucleotides) under uncultured bacterium. RNAcentral's name for it is "bacterial SSU rRNA". It matches the Rfam family "Bacterial small subunit ribosomal RNA", at positions 28 to 345 of the family's 1533-position model. The record is from RNAcentral.
GAUGAACGCUAGCUACAGGCUUAACACAUGCAAGUCGAGGGGCAGCAUGGUCUUAGCUUGCUAAGGCCGAUGGCGACCGGCGCACGGGUGAGUAACACGUAUCCAACCUGCCGUCUACUCUUGGACAGCCUUCUGAAAGGAAGAUUAAUACAAGAUGGCAUCAUGAGUCCGCAUGUUCACAUGACUAAAGGUAUUCCGGUAGACGAUGGGGAUGCGUUCCAUUAGAUAGUAGCGGGGUUAACGGCCCACCUAGUCUUCGAUGGAUAGGGGUUCUGAGAGGAAGGUCCCCCACAUUGGAACUGAGACACUUCCGGGGAAACUCCUACGGG